RNAcentral lists this ribosomal RNA (269 nucleotides) under uncultured archaeon. RNAcentral's name for it is "partial 16S ribosomal RNA". It matches the Rfam family "Archaeal small subunit ribosomal RNA", at positions 477 to 747 of the family's 1478-position model. The record is from RNAcentral.
CAGCACCUCAAGUGGUCAGGAUGAUUAUUGGGCCUAAAGCAUCCGUAGCCGGCGCUGUAAGUUUUCGGUUAAAUCUGUACGCUCAACGUACAGGCUGCCGGGAAUACUGCAGCGCUAGGGAGUGGGAGAGGUAGACGGUACUCGGUAGGAAGGGGUAAAAUCCUUUGAUCUAUUGAUGACCACCUGUGGCGAAGGCGGUCUACCAGAACACGUCCGACGGUGAGGGAUGAAAGCUGGGGGAGCAAACCGGAUUAGAUACCCGAGUGUCC